This is a long non-coding RNA of Rhinopithecus bieti (black snub-nosed monkey), 3550 nucleotides long. NCBI's taxonomy places the organism in Eukaryota, Metazoa, Chordata, Mammalia, Primates, Cercopithecidae. The record is from Ensembl.
UCUGUCAGACAAUGUUUCCAACCAGAGGCUGUUUACGCAGUUAAAUGGUUGGUUCAGAGUCUUCCUUUUGCCUCAGGAGUCUGUCUGGUGGCUGGCUCGCAGCCAGCUUCUACACAAUCCCCUCUCUCUGACCCUGCAUCUUCAAUGCCGCCAUGCUGCUGAGCCGGCCGCUGCUUCUCGGUGAAAUCCUAGUUCUAGCUCCCUCCAGAGUCAACUGGUUUGGCUAUUUGAAAGCCGCUCUUUCAGCGAACCCUUCUUUGUCAUUUCAGAAAUGAACCCUGCUUUCCAGCACCUGGGCUGGACAGGGUUCUCCUGGCUUGCUAACUGCAGCAGCUGUUUUCUGUCCCCAGUAAGAGCCAGGGUGACAUACCUACCCGCCCAGAGCCACCCUCGGCAGGAGACUCAGGGAGAAGUGCCCCCAGGGCCAAAUUUCCUGAGAUGCUCUGUGGUUCUGUAUGGCUGUUACUCACCAGGAUCUCUAGAGACAGCCCAUCUCCCUCCCUCAACUGAUGUCACCAAAUUCUGAAUGAAAACAACUCCAGGCAAAUAAUGUUCACCACUCCACUUCCUUGUUCCUCCACACCUGCUACUUUGGAUUCAGAAGAGAAUUUCCAAGAAUCCCUGAGUCCACAGCCUGACUCUGGUUUGCAGAACCUGUGUCCAGACCAGCCAGAUGUGAAUACAAAGGAAAGUGACACAUCCUGGAUCUCAACCCACUUCGUUGGGAAGUCUUCCUGAUAAAUUUAGAGAUAACCCAAAGCCCUGGGGACUUCCUCUUGAUUUGAAUCUGCUCUACAUCUGCCCCAUGUCCCCCACCCACAGCAGAUGAAAACAUCAACUCUGCAGAAUUAAUGGAUAUGGGAAUCACCUGGGGACUUCUCGUUAAACUGCAAAUCAUGAUUCAGAGGGUCUGGGGAGGGACCUGAGACUCUGCACUUCUAACAAGCUUGACCGGGGCUGGAGAACCUUCCAUCACUCCACCAAUGCUCACCAUCACUGCCAUUCUCGCUCUUCUUUCUCGGGCCCUUGCCCAUUUUCUCCACCGUAUCCUUCUUUUAUCCUAUUCUUUUCCUCUUUUCAUCCUUCUUUUUUUCUUCCCAGCCAUCUCACUAUUCCUAUAUCCCUACUAACCCCCCAACACUUCUUCACUCAAAGAUAAAGAAACUCCUACCCUUUCUUCCUCCAGACACUCAUCUCCCUCCCUCUUCUCCUCAGCUUUGUAGUGCCAGGAAAAGAAAGAUCACCAUUUAUUGACAAUUUUGUGUGAAGCACUGUCCCAAGUGCAUUACCCAUAUUGUUUAAUUCUCACAACAACCCUGCAAAGUACACAUUAUUUCUGCCAUUUUAGACAUGAGAAAAUUGAGACUUGGGAUGGUUAAAGAAAUCUUGUCCUUAACUAGGAAGUAGUGAGCUAAGAUUAGAAUUUAGAUCCGUCUGAGACCAAAGUCUACAACUUUUAUACUGCACCAUGCUCAUGUAAGGUGAAUAAUCUAGAAAGCAGCUGGUAGGAGUGGCUUCAGCAAAAAGGAAUGGAAUACCACAAGCUUCACCCCAUUUAUGCAUCCUGAACACUUCACUCCACUUUUGCUAAGUAGAUGCCCUAUGAGACAGCUUGACAUACCAAUAAUGAGAGCUGUUUCAAGAAUGCCCAGAUUAAAAUGAUGGUUGGGACCUAAAUAGCACAGUAGUAAUAUUAAAGCCCAAAGUUGCCAAUAUGCUCAAUUUUCAAUGUAACCUUUUAUUAUAAAUUAAGAUCCAUAACUGUACGCACAGAGUCUGUUACCAAAAAAGAAAUUCCUUCCAUUGGCCAAGUAUUCAACCACAUGAAGUCUACCAAAGGACAGUGCCAAGCCUCCCAUCAGUCCACACAGGAUCCAUCUUGGACGGAUAGCCAGUUUCUUUCUCUGUCUCUAGUUUCUCUUCCUUGAUUUCACCUCUAGGAUCCCCUCACUCUCUUAUUGUCCUUUGUCUUGUCCUCAAGAUCCUGCCAAGAGUCCUGGCUUCCCACCGGGGAGCAUGUACCAGUUCUUCAAACCUUUGUGUGUUUCUGACACCUCAGACUACAGCAUCUACAAGAUAGACAAAGAGUUCUCUUGCUUAUACUGGCCCUCUCCCUCCCUUGACUUUUAUCAGAUACACCAAAACAAAACAAAAAAUUCCUUUUAAAUUCUGUUAAAGAUCCUGCAAGAUGGGAAGGGAGGAGAAAAGGCAGGGGCUGUGUAUGAGGAAAAUUCCAUCUUGACAUACAAAAAUAUUAAAAGUCUAUAUACUCAAAGGAGAAGUGAAGAAUCAGACUUUUGCAUGUGGAACAGACAGGGAAACUGGGAGCAAUAUGGUGUAGUCAUCAGAUGUGGGUUCUAAAUUCAUCUCUGCUACUAACCGGCAGUGCAACCUUGGGUAAGCUGUGCAUUUUUCUCAAUACCAGUUUCUUCAUCUUUAAAGUGUGGAGAUUGGAUUGAACAAUUACUAAGAUUCCUUUGAUCUCUACCCUGCAGUGUCUUCUCUGGCAUCUAAAAUAAAAUAAACCAGAAAUUAAUGAAAGAGUGAAAAUAAUAUUGCUGCAUCCAGACUUGGAUACUUGAUUGAGUCAGUGCAUGAAAACAAGAAGGUAAAGAAACAAUGAUUAAUAAUGAUAAAUGAGUAAUAAUAAGAAUAAAAUACAAAAAAAUUAAAUAAAGACAAAAAUGAAUGAGCCUAUAGUUUUGCUUUUUAAAAAGAUGUUAAAUUCCCUACCAAAGUGGCCAUUCAUUAUCCAUAGUUAUCAGUUACUGUAAAAUACAUUAUUGGGACAAUGUAUAUUCUAUGCAGAAGUAUAUUGCCACUUAAAAACAUUGUUUUCCAAUAAAAGCACUGAGUUAUAAAAUCAACCAACAUUUUUAUUCUGAACUAUGGUAGGUAGAUAAGAAAUAAAAUUAGGUCAACAUGAAAAAUUUCCUUCAUGGCAGGUUACGGAAUUUAAAGUACGUGAUAUUUUCCCUCUUUGAAGUUGACAUGUAAUUAUGUUUGCUUUAUGCCAAGUUAUCUGCCCCUAAAUGUUCCAAACUGAAAAAGGGAAAACAAAGCCUGCCUGUAGCUGCUUCUUCCUUCAUAUACACACCAGGCCAAAAGACAGAAUGGUCGGAGGCAUGGUCUCUAAGUGUGUGAUUUGGGGGAGGCCUACCCACCCUAAAAGUGUAAGGGCAAAAAUGUAUCUCUUUGUGUUUUGGAGCUGACUGGCUCAGUAAAACUUUGUAAGUCAGUCUGCACGUACACCACUUCCUCAGUCUUAUAAGUGAGGACGUCCUCCUGCAUCUGGCCCUUAGGAACCUGACCUCUCCUGAUUGGUCAUCACUUAUUUUCUGGGAAGCAGCCUUCAUCAGCCCAAACCCUUCCUGCAGAAGGAUGCCCCAGCCUGUCUACUCAGGGGGUGCCUUGGCCAGGAGAAACAUUUUUUUGACGAUGUUCUUCUCAUUCUCUUCCUUCUGUAACCCCAUCAGGUACCCAUGGCCUCUAUGCCAAAAUCACAGGUGAAAAAUAUAUUUUGAUUAUUUGGCCUAGAUUCUCUCCAGAC